RNAcentral lists this ribosomal RNA (331 nucleotides) under uncultured bacterium. Its description in RNAcentral is "bacterial SSU rRNA". It matches the Rfam family "Bacterial small subunit ribosomal RNA", at positions 8 to 334 of the family's 1533-position model. The record is from RNAcentral.
AGGGUUCGAUCAUGGCUCAGGACGAACGCUGGCGGCGCGCCUAACACAUGCAAGUCGAACGGAGAUGGAGGAGCUUGCUUUUCCAUCUUAGUGGCGGACGGGUGAGUAACACGUGAGCAACCUGCCUUUCAGAGGGGGAUAACGUUUGGAAACGAACGCUAAUACCGCAUAACAUAUAGCUAAGGCAUCUUAGGUAUAUCAAAGGAGGAAUCCGCUGAGAGAUGGGCUCGCGGCCGAUUAGAUAGUUGGCGGGGUAAAGGCCCACCAAGUCGACGAUCGGUAGCCGGACUGAGAGGUUGAACGGCCACAUUGGGACUGAGACACGGCCCAG